CGGGGUGGAGUAAUGUCUGGGAAACGUGCCUGAUGGAGGGGGAUAACUGCUGGAAACGGUAGCUAAUACCGCAUAACGUCGCAAGACCAAAGAGGGGGACCUUCGGGCCUCUUGCCAUCGGAUGUGCCCAGAUGGGAUAGCUAGUAGGUGGGGUAACGGCUCACCUAGGCGACGAUCCCUAGCUGGUCUGAGAGGAUGACCAGCCACACUGGAACUGAGACACGGUCCAG
RNAcentral lists this ribosomal RNA (230 nucleotides) under uncultured bacterium. RNAcentral's name for it is "partial 16S ribosomal RNA". It matches the Rfam family "Bacterial small subunit ribosomal RNA", at positions 104 to 334 of the family's 1533-position model. The record is from RNAcentral.